UGAGUUUUGGACCUGGCUCAGGAUGAACGCUGGCGGCGUGCUUAACACAUGCAAGUCGAACGAUGAAGCCCAGCUUGCUGGGUGGAUUAGUGGCGAACGGGUGAGUAACACGUGAGUAACCUGCCCCCGACUCUGGGAUAAGCCCGGGAAACUGGGUCUAAUACCGGAUAUUACCUUUGACCGCAUGGUUGUUGGUGGAAAGAUUUAUCGGUGGGGGAUGGACUCGCGGCCUAUCAGCUUGUUGGUGAGGUAAUGGCUCACCAAGGCGACGACGGGUAGCCGGCCUGAGAGGGUGACCGGCCACACUGGGACUGAGACACGGCCCAGACUCCUACGGGAGGCAGCAGUGGGGAAUAUUGCACAAUGGGCGAAAGCCUGAUGCAGCGACGCCGCGUGAGGGAUGACGGCCUUCGGGUUGUAAACCUCUUUCAGUAGGGAAGAAGCGAAAGUGACGGUACCUGCAGAAGAAGCGCCGGCUAACUACUCAG
Molecule: ribosomal RNA, 488 nt
Filed under: uncultured Arthrobacter sp.
Lineage: Bacteria; Bacillati; Actinomycetota; Actinomycetes; Micrococcales; Micrococcaceae
Description: bacterial SSU rRNA
Rfam family: Bacterial small subunit ribosomal RNA
Source: RNAcentral